GGGCCCGCACAAGCAGCGGAGCGUGUUGCUUAAUUCGAUGCAACGCGAAGAACCUUACCAGGGUUUGACAUCCUGCGAAUCUCUUGGAAACAGGAGAGUGCCUUCGGAACGCAGUGACAGGUGGUGCAUGGCUGUCGUCAGCUCGUGUCGUGCAGAUGUUGGUUAAGUCCCGCAACGAUGCGCAACCCACGUCUUUAGUUGCCAGCAUUUAGUUGGGCACUCUAGAGAGACUGCCGGUGAUAAACCGGAGGAAGGUGUGGAUGACGUCAAGUCAUCAUGCCCCUUACAUCCUGGGCUACACACGUACUACAAUGCUACGGACAAAGGGCAGCAAGUUCGCGAGGACAAG
Molecule: ribosomal RNA, 349 nt
Filed under: uncultured bacterium
Lineage: Bacteria
Description: bacterial SSU rRNA
Rfam family: Bacterial small subunit ribosomal RNA
Source: RNAcentral